CCAUUAUCUUACCUCAUAACACAAGCAGCCAAUACCAGAGCCUUACUGAUGUCUGAGAGCUUACACAAUCCCACCUCACAUUGAGAUGCUGUGUCCCAAAAGCAGUAUGAUGACUUUAGCACUGUAGGACAUGCUUCUAUACUAAAAGUGUUAAAUCUGCCUCUCAUCAUGCAAAAUGAAUUUAAGUGUAGGGCAGUCCCAGUAAAUCUGUGCAGAUCCUCAUUCUGGGAGCAACUCAAUUGCAGCUAUUUCAUUUUAUCCUGUAAUGUGAGGAGAUGGCCAGAAGUUAAAGAUGGCAAAUAGUAUGUUUAAAUGUGCUGAAAAUAGCACAAGAGAUAGGAGAAGAGAGAAUGCCUGGGACAGAGAGAGCAGCCUAAGACCAUACAUUUGCUUAUGGAAUUGCACCCAUCCUUCAACCAUAUGGUACAGGAAAAUAACCUCAGUAUAUUCCUCAUAUGUACUCCACCAAGUGUGCACAUAAUAUUGUUUCAACUGUUUGGAUUCUGUACAACAUGUGGACAGAAAAAUGAUGAACACCAAAAUGAAUAUGGAAGGAAUUUGAGUGGUUGAACCAAUAAACAAGGCUGCAGCAGCAUACAAUCAAGUUUAUUAUGUACAUGAACAAUAAACCUGGCAAAGGGAGUGCUGAUGUCCAGAGAUGCACAUUUGAAAUUCUGCCUGUUUGUGUUAUUUCUGCUAAUCAGGGGAUUUAUUUUAAUCUCCUUCAUACUCCUCAAUUUCAGAAACACAAUUCAUCUGGACAAAUGCCAAGUCACUGCUUUAAAAGUAUUAGAAGAGGACACUAAUAAUGUAACUGUCUUGGGUGUGGAGUGGAGUACAUGA
This 843-nucleotide long non-coding RNA is filed under the name Cyanistes caeruleus (blue tit). RNAcentral describes it as "lncRNA (ENSCCEG00000019327.1)". The record is from RNAcentral. Lineage: Eukaryota; Metazoa; Chordata; Aves; Passeriformes; Paridae.